AGAGUUUGAUUCUGGCUCAGGAUGAACGCUGGCGGCGUGCCUAAUACAUGCAAGUCGAACGCACAGCGAAAGGUGCUUGCACCUUUCAAGUGAGUGGCGAACGGGUGAGUAACACGUGGAUAACCUACCUCAAGGUUGGGGAUAACAUUUGGAAACAGAUGCUAAUACCGAAUAAAACUUCGUAUCGCAUGAUACAAGGUUAAAAGGCGCUACGGCGUCACCUAGAGAUGGAUCCGCGGUGCAUUAGUUAGUUGGUGGGGUAAAGGCCUACCAAGACAAUGAUGCAUAGCCGAGUUGAGAGACUGAUCGGCCACAUUGGGACUGAGACACGGCCCAAACUCCUACGGGAGGCUGCAGUAGGGAAUCUUCCACAAUGGGCGAAAGCCUGAUGGAGCAACGCCGCGUGUGUGAUGAAGGCUUUCGGGUCGUAAAGCACUGUUGUAUGGGAAGAACAGCUAGAGUAGGGAAUGACUUUAGUUUGACGGUACCAUACCAGAAAGGGACGGCUAAAUACAUGCCAGCAGCCGCGGUAAAACGUAUUGUCCCGAGCGUUAUCCCGGAUUUAUUGGGCGUAAAGCGAGCGCAGACGGUUGAUUAAUUCUGAUGUGAAAGCCCCGGAGCUCAACUCCGGAAAAGGCAUUGGAAACUGGUCAACUUGAGUGCAGUAGAGGUAAGUGGAACUCCAUGUGUAGCGGUGGAAUGCGUAGAUAUAUGGAAGAACACCAGCGGCGAAGGCGGCUUACUGGACUGUAACUGACGUUGAGGCUCGAAAGUGUGGGUAGCAAACAGGAUUAGAUACCCUGGUAGUCCACACCGUAAACGAUGAACACUAGGUGUUAGGAGGGUUUCCGCCUCUUUAGUGCCGAAGCUAACGCAUUAAGUGUUUCCGCCUGGGGAGUACGACCGCAAGGUUGAAACUCAAAGGAAUUGACGGGGACCCGCACAAGCGGUGGAGCAUGUGGUUUAAUUCGAAGCAACGCGAAGAACCUUACCAGGUCUUGACAUCCUUUGAAGCUUUUAGAGAUAGAAGUGUUCUCUUCGGAGACAAAGUGACAGGUGGUGCAUGGUCGUCGUCAGCUCGUGUCGUGAGAUGUUGGGUUAAGUCCCGCAACGAGCGCAACCCUUAUUGUUAGUUGCUAGCAUUCAGAUGGGCACUCUAGCGAGACUGCCGGUGACAAACCGGAGGAAGGCGGGGACGACGUCAGAUCAUCAUGCCCCUUAUGACCUGGGCUACACACGUGCUACAAUGGCGUAUACAACGAGUUGCCAACCUGUGAAGGUGAGCUAAUCUCUUAAAGUACGUCUCAGUUCGGACUGCAGUCUGCAACUCGACUGCACGAAGUCGGAAUCGCUAGUAAUCGCGGAUCAGCACGCCGCGGUGAAUACGUUCCCGGGUCUUGCACUCACCGCCCGUCA
RNAcentral lists this ribosomal RNA (1416 nucleotides) under uncultured bacterium. Its description in RNAcentral is "bacterial SSU rRNA". It matches the Rfam family "Bacterial small subunit ribosomal RNA". The record is from RNAcentral.